RNAcentral lists this unclassified non-coding RNA (197 nucleotides) under uncultured fungus. RNAcentral describes it as "sequence contains ITS1". The record is from RNAcentral. Lineage: Eukaryota; Fungi.
UUGAUUUGAUUUUAUAAUCAGACUCAGAGAUUCUGUAGAAAACAAGAGUUUCGGUCCCUCGGCGGGCGCCUGGAUCCGGGGCACACCUGUAAGGGCGCGCCCGGGGCGUAUCCGCCGAAGCAACAGUGGUAAGUUCACAAUGGGUUUGGGAGUUUUAACACUCUGUAAUGAUCCCUCCGCUGGUUCACCAACGGAGA